This 375-nucleotide ribosomal RNA is filed under the name uncultured anaerobic ammonium-oxidizing bacterium. RNAcentral's name for it is "bacterial SSU rRNA". It matches the Rfam family "Bacterial small subunit ribosomal RNA", at positions 364 to 730 of the family's 1533-position model. The record is from RNAcentral.
UUUCGCAAUGCCCGAAAGGGUGACGAAGCGACGCCGCGUGUGGGAAGAAGGCCUUCGGGUUGUAAACCACUGUCGGGAGUUAGGAAAUGUAAGGGUGUUAAUAGUAUCCUUACUUGACUAAGGCUCCGGAGGAAGCCACGGCUAACUCUGUGCCAGCAGCCGCGGUAAUACAGAGGCGGCAAGCGUUGUUCGGAAUUAUUGGGCGUAAAGAGCACGUAGGCGGCUAUGUAAGUCGGUUGUGAAAGCCUUCCGCUCAACGGGAGAACAGCAUCCGAUACUGCAUGGCUUGAGUGCGGGAGGGGAGAGUGGAACUUCUGGUGGAGCGGUGAAAUGCGUAGAUAUCAGAAGGAACGCCGGCGGCGAAAGCGGCUCUCA